Molecule: long non-coding RNA, 206 nt
Filed under: Homo sapiens (human)
Lineage: Eukaryota; Metazoa; Chordata; Mammalia; Primates; Hominidae
Description: non-protein coding lnc-LRSAM1-1:3
Source: RNAcentral
CACAGCCCUUCUUUGCUUUUAUGAGUACAGUAGUGGUUCUCAGCUGGAGGAUUUCUCCUACAGUCGGAGGGAAAACCCGGGAAUGAGGAAUGCUGAUGGACAUAGCACUAUCAGAGGACUUGAUCCUGUUUCUCAGAGAGGAAGACAGACACUCUUAGCAUAAUGAGGGUCAAAAGUUGGGCCAGGCCGGGCACGGUGGCUCACGC